AGCGAACGCUGGCGGCAGGCUUAACACAUGCAAGUCGAGCGGGCGUAGCAAUACGUCAGCGGCAGACGGGUGAGUAACGCGUGGGAACAUACCUUUUGGUUCGGAACAACACAGGGAAACUUGUGCUAAUACCGGAUAAGCCCUUACGGGGAAAGAUUUAUCGCCGAAAGAUCGGCCCGCGUCUGAUUAGCUAGUUGGUGAGGUAACGGCUCACCAAGGCGACGAUCAGUAGCGGUCUGAGAGGAUGAUCAGCCACAUUGGGACUGAGACACGGCCCAAACUCCUACGGGAGGGCAGCAGUGGGGAAUAUUGGACAAUGGGCGCAAGCCUGAUCCAGCCAUGCCGCGUGAGUGAUGAAGGCCCUAGGGUUGUAAAGCUCUUUUGUGCGGGAAGAUAAUGACGGUACCGCAAGAAUAAGCCCCCGGCUAACUUCGUGCCAGCAG
RNAcentral lists this ribosomal RNA (443 nucleotides) under uncultured bacterium. Its description in RNAcentral is "bacterial SSU rRNA". It matches the Rfam family "Bacterial small subunit ribosomal RNA", at positions 29 to 514 of the family's 1533-position model. The record is from RNAcentral.